UGGGGAAUAUUGCACAAUGGGCGCAAGCCUGAUGCAGCCAUGCCGCGUGUGUGAAGAAGGCCUUCGGGUUGUAAAGCACUUUCAGCGAGGAGGAAGGUGGUGAGCUUAAUACGCUCAUCAAUUGACGUUACUCGCAGAAGAAGCACCGGCUAACUCCGUGCCAGCAGCCGCGGUAAUACGGAGGGUGCAAGCGUUAAUCGGAAUUACUGGGCGUAAAGCGCACGCAGGCGGUUUGUUAAGUCAGAUGUGAAAUCCCCGGGCUCAACCUGGGAACUGCAUUUGAAACUGGCAAGCUAGAGUCUCGUAGAAGGGGGUAGAAUUCCAGGUGUAGCGGUGAAAUGCGUAGAGAUCUGGAGGAAUACCGGUGGCGAAGGCGGCCCCCUGGACGAAGACUGACGCUCAGGUGCGAAAGCGUGGGGCAGCAAACAGGAUUAGAUACCCUGGUAGUCCACGCUGUAAACGAUGUCGAUUUUGGAGGUUGUGCCCUUGAGGCGUGGCUUCCGGAGCUAACGCGUUAAAUCGACCGCCUGGGGAGUACGGCCGCAAGGUUAAAACUCAAAUGAAUUG
RNAcentral lists this ribosomal RNA (567 nucleotides) under uncultured bacterium. RNAcentral's name for it is "partial 16S ribosomal RNA". It matches the Rfam family "Bacterial small subunit ribosomal RNA", at positions 355 to 912 of the family's 1533-position model. The record is from RNAcentral.